UGUCUCUCUCACGUGUGACUGAGCGAGAGUGAGCAAGAGAGAGAGAGGCUGAGCCAAAUGCGAUGCAGCAGAAUUCUGUGACAGACCUGGCAUUUAUUUGAACAGAGGCAGCCAGCUUGAGAGGGUGAGAUGCUUUAGUGCUACAGUCACUCUGCACCUACCCCAGCCCAAAUCAGGGAGAGAGACAGGAGUAGGAGGUGGGGGGCAAGGAGAACAGACCCCGUUUGACCUUCUCCGCAAUCCAUAUUUGGGAAUAUCAGUGCUUUUUGUUGUUCUUCUCCUCCUGUGUUCCCCCUUCUUCUUCGCCUGAAUUGUGGAUGUAUAUUCAGAAGUGUGUCUUGCAUCAGAAUUGUCUUGUUUAUCUACAGGUCAGAAUGAAAGGCACCCUCAAGCAGAGCUGAAGCAGUAUUCAUAGGACAAUUCCCUGGACUGUCACUGUUCUUGCUACUUCAACUCGUUCAGUGAGACUUGGGUCCGGGUUGGACAGGAAUUACCCUGCAACUGAUAUGACAAUUUCAGAUGCUUUCUGACUUCUUCAGUAUGAAGGAAAUACAUAUUUUAGGACAUUAUAAGGAUUUUUAACAUGCAUUUAUAUUUAUAUGCCCAUAACUGAUAACCAUGAGUCUGACUGGGAAAACUAGUUUCCAGAAAAAGUCUUUCAUUUUAUCCGUGACAUAUUUCAUUUGAAUUUAAAAAGCCACCAAUGACAAGAUGCUCAUUUUUGCAGCAGUUAUUUUUCUCUUUAUUUCUUACUUUUUGUUUCCACGCUAAUGCUUUUGGAAAAUACAGAGACAACACUCGCGACGCCUCUGCUGUUAUUAAGGCGACACGUGAAUGGGUAGCACUCUUUGUAUCGAGAUCUGACAGGGAGAAGUUCCAAUUCAGCCUUUUGCUGCCAGAGCUUCUCUUUCAUGGAAACCCAUUGGACUCCUUCAUCUCACACGCUGUUCCCAUCGGGCAAAACUGCACUCGGCAUAAGGCUCUGCACCACCUUGUCACGUUUCAGGCAAGUGAACUGUCAGUCUUCUACCGCUUACAAUGUCAUAUUUCACCCAUUUCCUUCUCUCAGAGCCGCAGUGGACGAUGUGGACUCCAUUCCACCUAUAUUGAAACACACCUCCAUGUCACCCAUAGGUUAUGGCACCAUCUGGCUUUUCCCACAUCUCAGCAGUCUUGUGGGUGGCAGCAUUAGGCUACCCAGGCAGGAUGUUUUGCUGAUUAACACGAACAUUGAAACACACCCAGAGCUGCGAGCUCUAAGGCUCAGCCGAGCCGCAUCCCCGAUGCCCACACAUGCCUCCAGAAGCACUGCACUGGCACUUUCCCAGCAGCUUCUCUGGUGAACACGAACACUCAGACCACCUCACACCUCAGUCUCUGAGAUCAGAAGCGCUGCUCUCCCUUGGACACCUGUCCUUUAAAAGUGCGCCGUCCAUCUGUCUCAAAAUGUUGCUGUUACUCUCCAUCCUUCAGUCCAACAACAGAUGUUAUUCUGUAGAGAGACUAGACAGGCCAUAGACAGUACUGUAAAUAGUAUAGCUCUCAGCUGAAGCUAGAUAACACACAAACUCCCAACAGCUGCGAUCUGCCAAACACCAGUGUAUUGGAGGGUAUUUGUUGCUGUAACAGCUCCUUUGAGGACAAUCAUGUUGCAGUCCAUACUUGUGUAGACAAAUGCACAUAUACACGUUUUAAGUGUCAUUAAUUUUCCUGUCAUAUAAGUUCUAAAAGGUGAUGAUGAAUAUCUGUAGCUGUAUUUUAUUUCAAAGACUUUUUUAUUCCAAAAGUUCUUCCAUUAUUUUGCCAAGUUCUCUAACCUUCAUAUCUACUCUGCUUCUUAGUUGUUUGAAAAAAGAAGUGUUUUGAGAAGGUCCUUUUGACUACCUAGUGAAGAGAAAGUAAGCUGGUUGUUUCAUUUUUUUGUUACAUC
Molecule: long non-coding RNA, 1930 nt
Filed under: Lepisosteus oculatus (spotted gar)
Lineage: Eukaryota; Metazoa; Chordata; Actinopteri; Semionotiformes; Lepisosteidae
Description: lncRNA (ENSLOCG00000021472.1)
Source: RNAcentral